AUGAGUAGCGAAAGACGGGUGAGAAUCCCGUCCACCGAAUGCCUAAGGUUUCCUGAGGAAGGCUCGUCCGCUCAGGGUUAGUCGGGACCUAAGCCGAGGCCGAAAGGCGUAGGCGAUGGACAACAGGUUGAUAUUCCUGUACCACCUCCUCACCAUUUGAGCAAUGGGGGGACGCAGGAGGAUAGGGUAAGCGCGGUAUUGGAUAUCCGCGUCCAAGCAGUUAGGCUGGGAAAUAGGCAAAUCCGUUUCCCGUAAAGGCUGAGCUGUGAUGGCGAGCGAAAUUUAGUAGCGAAGUUCCUGAUUCCACACUGCCAAGAAAAGCCUCUAGCGAGGUGAGAGGUGCCCGUACCGCAAACCGACACAGGUAGGCGAGGAGAGAAUCCUAAGGUGAUCGAGAGAACUCUCGUUAAGGAACUCGGCAAAAUGACCCCGUAACUUCGGGAGAAGGGGUGCUUCUUAGGGUGUUAAAGCCCCGAGAAGCCGCAGUGAAUAGGCCCAGGCGACUGUUUAGCAAAAACACAGGUCUCUGCGAAGCCGUAAGGCGAAGUAUAGGGGCUGACGCCUGCCCGGUGCUGGAAGGUUAAGAGGAGCGCUUAGCGUAAGCGAAGGUGCGAAUUGAAGCCCCAGUAAACGGCGGCCGUAACUAUAACGGUCCUAAGGUAGCGAAAUUCCUUGUCGGGUAAGUUCCGACCCGCACGAAAGGCGCAACGAUCUGGGCACUGUCUCAACGAGAGACUCGGUGAAAUUAUAGUACCUGUGAAGAUGCAGGUUACCCGCGACAGGACGGAAAGACCCCGUGGAGCUUUACUGCAGCCUGAUAUUGAAUGUUGGUACAGCUUGUACAGGAUAGGUAGGAGCCUUGGAAACCGGAGCGCUAGCUUCGGUGGAGGCAUCGGUGGGAUACUACCCUGGCUGUAUUGACCUUCUAACCCGCUGCCCUUAUCGGGCAGGGAGACAGUGUCAGGUGGGCAGUUUGACUGGGGCGGUCGCCUCCUAAAAUGUAACGGAGGCGCCCAAAGGUUCCCUCAGAAUGGUUGGAAAUCAUUCGCAGAGUGUAAAGGCACAAGGGAGCUUGACUGCGAGACCUACAAGUCGAGCAGGGACGAAAGUCGGGCUUAGUGAUCCGGUGGUUCCGCAUGGAAGGGCCAUCGCUCAACGGAUAAAAGCUACCCCGGGGAUAACAGGCUUAUCUCCCCCAAGAGUCCACAUCGACGGGGAGGUUUGGCACCUCGAUGUCGGCUCAUCGCAUCCUGGGGCUGUAGUCGGUCCCAAGGGUUGGGCUGUUCGCCCAUUAAAGCGGUACGCGAGCUGGGUUCAGAACGUCGUGAGACAGUUCGGUCCCUAUCCGUCGCGGGCGCAGGAAAUUUGAGAGGAGCUGUCCUUAGUACGAGAGGACCGGGAUGGACGCACCGCUGGUGUACCAGUUGUUCUGCCAAGGGCAUCGCUGGGUAGCUAUGUGCGGACGGGAUAAGUGCUGAAAGCAUCUAAGCAUGAAGCCCCCCUCAAGAUGAGAUUUCCCAUUCCGCAAGGAAGUAAGAUCCCUGAAAGAUGAUCAGGUUGAUAGGUCUGAGGUGGAAGCGUGGUGACACGUGGAGCUGACAGAUACUAAUAGAUCGAGGACUUAACCUA
RNAcentral lists this ribosomal RNA (1629 nucleotides) under Bacillus australimaris. RNAcentral describes it as "partial 23S ribosomal RNA". It matches the Rfam family "Bacterial large subunit ribosomal RNA", at positions 1302 to 2925 of the family's 2925-position model. Lineage: Bacteria; Bacillati; Bacillota; Bacilli; Caryophanales; Bacillaceae. The record is from RNAcentral.